GGGAACGGUGCGGGGAACUGGGAACAGCGGGGGGAACCGGGAGCACCGGGAAAAACUGGGAACGCUGGGGGAAAACUGGGAUGCAGAGAAAAACUGGGAUUCCUACAAAACCGGGAACACCGAGAAAAACUGGGAAUGCUGGGGGGAACCGGGAUGCACAGAAAAACUGGGAUUCCUGGGGAUGCCGGAGAAAUCCGGGAGUUCAAGGGAAAUCUGGGAAUUCAGAGAAAACCAGGGAUGGCGGGGAAAACUGGGGAUGGCAGAGAAAUCUGGGAGUUCUGGAAAAAGCUGGGAGUUCCGGAGAAAUGGGGAAUUACGGAGAAAUCUGGAAAUUCAGAGAAAUCCAGGAAUGGCAGAGAGAACCAGGAAUGGCGGGGAAAACUGGGAAUGGCAGAGAAAUCUGGGAGUGGCAGAGAAAUCUGGGAGUUCCGGAGAAAUCUGGGAAUUCUGGAGAAAUCCGGGAAUUCAGAGAAAUCUGGGAAUGGCAGAGAAAUCAGCAUGGUGUGGGCAGGAAUCGCUCGGGGCCCUCACGGGGGGCCCGGGGGAUCCAAAGGGGCAGGAGAGAAUCCCUCAGGACCAUGAAGAUCCAACAGGAACCCCUCAGGAUCAUGAAGAUCCCACAGGAAUCCCUCAGGACCAUGAAGAUCCCACAGGAAUCCCAAGGAACUGUCAGGAACCCCUCAGGACCCCGCGCCUGCCACGGGGACACCACAAAGCCCUGGAGGCCUCUCCCAGAGCAGGAACAAAAUGGAAAAUUGGGAUUUCCAGAGAGGACAAUGAGCUG
This 784-nucleotide long non-coding RNA is filed under the name Lonchura striata (white-rumped munia). RNAcentral describes it as "domestica (Bengalese finch) lncRNA (ENSLSDG00000003651.1)". Lineage: Eukaryota; Metazoa; Chordata; Aves; Passeriformes; Estrildidae. The record is from RNAcentral.